This 357-nucleotide ribosomal RNA is filed under the name Amaurobioides pallida. Its description in RNAcentral is "partial 16S ribosomal RNA". The record is from RNAcentral. Lineage: Eukaryota; Metazoa; Arthropoda; Arachnida; Araneae; Anyphaenidae.
UUGUGCUAAGGUAGCAUAAUCAUUUGUCUUUUAAUUAAAGACUAGAACAAAAGAUUGAACAUUUUAAUUAAUAUAUCCAAACUAAUUAAUUAAAUUUAUUUUAAAUGUAAAAAAACAUUUAUAAAUUAGAAAGACGAUAAGACCCUAUUAAACUUAACUUAAGUUAAACUGGGGCAGUUAAUUAAUUAUCAUUUUAAUUUAAAUACAAAAACAAAUAGAUCCUAUAAAAUAGAUUAAAUGAUCAAGUUACUAUAGGGAUAACAGCGUAAUAUUAAUUAAAAGACCUUAUUAAAAUAAAAGAUUACGACCUCGAUGUUGAAUUAAUAACCUAUAUAGUUGCAAUAAACAAUAAAGGAA